This 253-nucleotide ribosomal RNA is filed under the name uncultured bacterium. RNAcentral's name for it is "partial 16S ribosomal RNA". It matches the Rfam family "Bacterial small subunit ribosomal RNA", at positions 524 to 776 of the family's 1533-position model. The record is from RNAcentral.
UACGAAGGGGGCUAGCGUUGCUCGGAAUCACUGGGCGUAAAGCGCACGUAGGCGGAUCUUUAAGUCAGGGGUGAAAUCCCAAGGCUCAACCCUGGAACUGCCUUUGAUACUGGGGAUCUCGAGUCCGGAAGAGGUUGGUGGAACUCCGAGUGUAGAGGUGAAAUUCGUAGAUAUUCGGAAGAACACCAGUGGCGAAGGCGGCCAACUGGUCCGGCACUGACGCUGAGGUGCGAAAGCGUGGGGAGCAAACAGG